GCGGACCCACGUGUUGCCCAGGGGUUCACCCGAACCCCCUCAAAAAAAAAUUACACUGUAUAUAUAAGGUGAAUUUUCUGGAUUUAUGUGGAUAUAUAUAUUUUGAACCCCUUCAAUGACAAGGUGAAGGAGAUAGCCCAGUGGCAGCUCCCUUCAAAGUUAAGCCUGACGUCCAAGGAUCGAAUCCCUGGGUUAGCGUUUUAUUUUUUUGUUUUUUAC
This 219-nucleotide long non-coding RNA is filed under the name Solanum tuberosum (potato). RNAcentral describes it as "long non-coding RNA (STUB_LNC000239)". The record is from RNAcentral. Lineage: Eukaryota; Viridiplantae; Streptophyta; Magnoliopsida; Solanales; Solanaceae.